Molecule: transfer RNA, 76 nt
Filed under: bacterium
Lineage: Bacteria
Also listed under: 1 other name
Description: tRNA-Ala
Rfam family: tRNA
About the family: Transfer RNA (tRNA) molecules are approximately 80 nucleotides in length. Their secondary structure includes four short double-helical elements and three loops (D, anti-codon, and T loops).
Source: RNAcentral
GGGGCCGUAGCUCAGACGGGAGAGCGCUUGAAUGGCAUUCAAGAGGUCAGGGGUUCGAUUCCCCUCGGCUCCACCA